RNAcentral lists this ribosomal RNA (488 nucleotides) under uncultured bacterium. RNAcentral describes it as "bacterial SSU rRNA". It matches the Rfam family "Bacterial small subunit ribosomal RNA", at positions 28 to 509 of the family's 1533-position model. The record is from RNAcentral.
GACGAACGCUGGCGGCGUGCUUAACACAUGCAAGUCGAACGGUGACGAGGAGCUUGCUCCUCUGAUCAGUGGCGAACGGGUGAGUAACACGUGAGCAACCUGCCCCAGACUCUGGGAUAACAGUUGGAAACAGCUGCUAAUACCGGAUACGAGACGGAGAGGCAUCUCUACCGUCUGGAAAGUUUUUCGGUCUGGGAUGGACUCGCGGCCUAUCAGCUAGUUGGUGAGGUAAUGGCUCACCAAGCCGACGAUCUGUAGCUGGUCUGAGAGGACGACCAGCCACACUGGGACUGAGACACGGCCCAGACUCCUACGGGAGGCAGCAGUGGGGAAUUUUGGACAAUGGGCGAAAGCCUGAUCCAGCCAUGCCGCGUGCAGGAUGAAGGCCUUCGGUUGUAACUGCUUUGUACGGAACGAAAGGUACUUUCUAAUUAAAGAAGGACUCAUGACGGUACCGUAAGAAUAAGACACCGGCUAACUAACGUGCC